GAUGAACGCUGGCGGCGUGCCUAAUACAUGCAAGUCGAGCGAACGGACGAGGAGCUUGCUUUUCUGAUGUUAGCGGCGGACGGGUGAGUAACACGUGGAUAACCUACCUAUAAGACUGGGAUAACUUCGGGAAACCGGAGCUAAUACCGGAUAAUAUUUUGAACCGCAUGGUUCAAUAGUGAAAGACGGUUUUGCUGUCACUUAUAGAUGGAUCCGCGCUGCAUUAGCUAGUUGGUAAGGUAACGGCUUACCAAGGCAACGAUGCAUAGCCGACCUGAGAGGGUGAUCGGCCACACUGGAACUGAGACACGGUCCAGACUCCUACGGGAGGCAGCAGUAGGGAAUCUUCCGCAAUGGGCGAAAGCCUGACGGAGCAACGCCGCGUGAGUGAUGAAGGUCUUCGGAUCGUAAAACUCUGUUAUUAGGGAAGAACAUAUGUGUAAGUAACUGUGCACAUCUUGACGGUACCUAAUCAGAAAGCCACGGCUAACUACGUG
Molecule: ribosomal RNA, 497 nt
Filed under: uncultured bacterium
Lineage: Bacteria
Description: partial 16S ribosomal RNA
Rfam family: Bacterial small subunit ribosomal RNA
Source: RNAcentral